UCAUGCGUCGGCCGCCUUUAUAGCUGAGACGCGCCGGGACCUCGGGGCUGCCUUCGGGCGGGACCCGCCAAUCAGGAGUGGGAGCGGGCGCCGGGGCGGGGCUUCGCCCGCCGGGCUCGCGGGGGUCCACGAGGCGGCCCGCGCGGCCCUACCCGGCCCGCCAGCGGCCCCACGGCGGCUUUAGGGUCUGCCCCGGCCGCCCGCCCCUGCCGCCCGCCGGGCGAAGACACGAGAAGGGAAGGUCCGGAGGAUAACUCAGAUGGCUGUGUUGGAGUAAACCUCUGGAGCUGCGGAGAUGUGGAGAAGAAGACACCUCAGCUAUAUUUUGGUUGGUGUUCGCAUGAAUCAGAGAUUGCUGCCAAGGACCCAUCGAGAACUGAUUCAAGAUAAUACUUUCCUUGGACAGUUGUGAAGAUAGUUUUACUGAUCGCUCCAUGAGAAGGAGGAACUCUAGACAUCACGGGUCCUUCGUUUAUCCAGCCAGUUUUAAUAAAACAGAAAAGACGGAGUGCAAGGGGGCAACAUUUGAUCUUAUUCUCGCAGGCUCUGUGUAGGAAUUAGAAGAACUGGAGUAAUUCACUUGUUAGAUUUGUUACGUUACAUUGGGGUAACAUUUCCUUCCAGAAUUCUGGGAAAGGAGCAUUCCCCAGACACAGAAGAAAGGAUACACAGUGACUCCGCCUCCUCCACUCCCAGGUUCUUUUUUAUAAAAUAAAAUGAAGGAAUUUCAAAGAACACAUCUUAGAUUCAAACAGUUUUUCAGGCAUCUCAGAAACAUUUGAUCACAAAUGUCCGGAAAAUAUGAUCACAAAUCCCAAUAGGAGGAGGUCACGUCGCUGCCUUUCUCCUCUGAGCCGCGUGAAGAACAGGUCUCAGAACACGUCUUAGAGAGAUACAGACAGACAGACGGCUAGGCAGACAGGUAGCAACGGGCUGGCAGAUAGGAGUUGUUGCUAGUGAAAUCCCAUCAUAGCAGGGUUCUCCAGGGCGCAGGAUGUCAAACUUAAUGCUUCAAAAGAGAUUGAAACCAUAUUUGAAGUGACAGUUCCUGAUCAGUCAAAUAGGUGAAGAUUUGCCAGUGGGGAGAAACAGGAAGAUUUCGCUGUGUCGCCCUCCCUGAGCAAACCCCAGUAACGAUUACCUUUCCAAACAGAAGCACUGACCACUUGGCAUUCGAAGAUUACAUAACCCAGUACAAUAAGAGAUCGAAAAAAUAAAUGGGGCAACACAGCACGUAGUUCAGAGAAGCAAUGCCUUUUUUUUUAUUAUAUGGAGCUUAAGUAGCUGACAAUGUGGACAUUUUCAAGUAACUGAGACAAGAACUAAAUGUUUUAGGAAGUCCUAAGUCAGUAGCAAGCAGUGCAUGAGGCUUUCCUUCUGGUGAUAUUCUUAGUAUGGUGCUAAAAUUUAAGAGGUCAUGGGUAGAAAAAGAAUUAUUUGGUCGGUAG
RNAcentral lists this long non-coding RNA (1448 nucleotides) under Equus caballus (horse). Its description in RNAcentral is "lncRNA (ENSECAG00000049424.1)". Lineage: Eukaryota; Metazoa; Chordata; Mammalia; Perissodactyla; Equidae. The record is from RNAcentral.